Molecule: long non-coding RNA, 3259 nt
Filed under: Brassica napus (rape)
Lineage: Eukaryota; Viridiplantae; Streptophyta; Magnoliopsida; Brassicales; Brassicaceae
Description: long non-coding RNA (BNAP_LNC021885)
Source: RNAcentral
GAAGCGUUCGGUUAAUGGAAAACUAAGUGCUGCUGCAGAAGAAGACUGUCCUUCUACCUCUAAUGGCUGCGAGGAAGGGGAGCAAGGAGGUAAGAAAGGGAGUCGAUCGAGUAGAAGGCACCUUGUAGAAUCUGCUGAUCUCAAGUGUAAGCUAGUUGACUUUGGUAACGCUUGUUGGACUUAUAAACAGUUCACAAGUGAUAUUCAGACGAGGCAGUAUAGGUGUCCUGAAGUAAUCCUUGGAUCUAAGUAUUCUACCUCGGCAGAUCUCUGGUCAUUCGCGUGUAUAUGCUUUGAACUUGCCACUGGUGAUGUACUCUUUGAUCCCCAUAGUGGAGACAAUUAUGAUAGAGAUGAGGUAAUGCUUAAGAUCUCUAGUUAGUCACGUGCAUAUAUGUAUGCGAAGCUAAUUUGCUUUUGUGUGACUAACAGGACCACUUGGCUUUGAUGAUGGAGCUUCUUGGGAUGAUGCCACGCAAGGUAAAUAGAAUCAUUACCAGGCUAUACCCUUCAAGGCCGUCUUAAACUCCAACUUCUUCCUCUAUUUGUGUGUGUUUGCAGAUAGCUUUAGGAGGCCGCUACUCAAGAGAUUUGUUCAACAGGCAUGGUGAUCUUCGACACAUAAGAAGACUUCGUUUCUGGCCUAUGAACAAAGUCCUUACCGAGAAGUACGAGUUCAGUGAGCAAGAUGCAAAUGAACUGAGUGACUUUCUUGUUUCGAUUCUUGAUUUCGUACCCGAGAAACGACCAACUGCGGCUCAGUGUCUUUUGCAUCCUUGGAUCAACUCUGUCCCUCGCUCUCUAGAACCGUCUCUCUCACCUCAAGACCAGAACCCGGAAGAGAAGCUGGAUACAGAGAGAAAGAAGAGAGAGAAGGAGGAGCAAGAAGCUGUGGUAGUUAAAAUGGGAAACGUUGCCAUAUCAUCCCCAAAGUCCAAACCAGGUAUGAGCAAAAGCUCCUCUUAUAAACAAGCAAUUUGAUUUUGAGCGAAAGGGGAAAUGUGAUAAUUAAAACUCGCCACUGUGCUAGUGAGAGAGCUCAAGUCAGAACCACUUCAAGCUGUUUACUAGUGAGCUCUCAACAUUUUCAUAUGCGCAGUUGUAAUAUCUUGUAUGUGUACUUUUACGAAUCCAAAUAUAUUGACAUUCAACAUGUAUUUUGACUGAAUAUAUAAUAUUUCAUUCAUGAAAUCACACUUGACGCCAAUGAAAUUAGUAACAGUCUUACAUUUUUACCCGGUUAAAGACAGAAGCUGUUUAUUACAAAUCAAGAUUAACACACACAAGUCAAGCAGAGAACCGUGAAGCGCGGAUUGUUUUGUUUUGACCACAGCUUCCCUUUUUCUUCCUCGCUGACUUUCCCCGUCUCCGCGUGAACUUAACAUAAACUCUUUUAUAUAAAAACUAGUCCUAUUUGAGAAGUUGAGUCUCUCUCAUUCACAUACAAGAGAGAAAAACAAAACACGUCUCGGUAACAUGAUAAGCGUUCCAGUGUCACUUAACGCCGCCGUCAGACUAGGCAUCGCCGACGCUAUCUGGAACUCCGGAGCCAACUCUCCUCUCUCCGUCUCCGAGAUCCUCCCUCGCCUCCUUGUCCCAUCCCGAGAAUCUCCAGCGUAUACUUGUAUACUUCGUACAGUCCCGGCUCUAACCUAUGGCCACAUUGGCAAUUGCCCAUGGUGCAUAGGUCCAAACAAAAUUUUAGUGUUAUUUUACUAAUUAGAAAAGUUCAUUUUAAUUUGUUAAAUUAUCAAUUAGUCGGUAAAGUUAUAACAAAAAGGCCCAUAAUUAACAAAACCAAUUUUAAAUUAAAAAAGACAAUAGUUUUUAAAUCACGGGGUGGUGGGCUAGUGGUCUUGAGGUAGUUAAAAACAUCAAUACGGACCCGAGUUCGAAUACCCCAUGUGGCCACAUAAUGCUUUACGCCCUCCCUAAGUUUAAAGUUAAUUGCGGCAUUGGUGCCGGAUCCUUGGGUAAUGGGUAUUAGUGUCGACUGGUUCCGGGCCAGGGGGAUUAGAUGGUUGGCAAUCAGAAACCACGUGCGGAUUACGGGCCUUUGGGCAAACGGAAACCACGUGCGGAUUACGGGUCACCUUUGAAACUCCUGUUAAAAAAAAAAAGUUUUUAAAAAACUUCUCCGUUCUUAAUUUUUCUUACAACAAAACCUAAUUUACACUUAAAUGCCCAUUUUUUUCUUUUAAUACUCCUUCAAGAACGGCCGGUACGUUGUCCAGAGCAAACUCGGCUGGGGCCAUUUCUCCACCGUCUGGCUCUCCUGGGACACUCUAUCCUCUGUACGCACACUCUCUCUCUCUCUCUCUCUCGCACCAAUCUUCAUACAAAUCACUUUAACCUAAUAUCAAUGAUCAUGAAAUUGCUAGGCCGCGUAGUUAGGCGUAUGAGAUUAUUGAUCAGGCGUUUAGGUCCGGUUUGUCACCUAGGCGUCGGUUCGAUUUGAUGUUAAUUAGAUGAACCAAAACCAUUGUUAGUUACUUUAAUUAUGUAAUUGUCUUUACUCUUUAUCGAUGCAACAGAGAUAUGUGGCGUUGAAGGUGCAAAAGAGCGCACAGCACUAUACCGAAGCUGCCAUGGAUGAGAUAACUAUAUUGCAACAGAUUGCUGAAGGUGACGCUGAUGAUACCAAGUGUGUUGUGAAGCUUUUGGAUCAUUUCAAACACUCUGGCCCCAAUGGGCAGCAUGUAUGUAUGGUUUUCGAGUACUUGGGAGAUAACUUAUUGACGCUUAUAAAGUAUUCUGACUACCGGGGCUUGCCUAUUCCCAUGGUUAAGGAGAUUUGUUACCACAUGUUGGUUGGUUUGGACUACUUGCAUAAAGAGCUCUCGAUUAUACACACUGAUCUCAAGCCUGAGAAUGUGUUGUUAGUGUCGAGGAUCGAUCCGUCUAAAGAUCCUAGGAAGUCUGGAGCUCCUCUUAUUAUUGCUAGUGGUAAGGAGAAGAUUGUUGACUCCAAUGGAGACUUCGUUAAGAAUCAUAAGAAAGAUGUUCAUAGAAAGGUGAAGCGUUCGGUUAAUGGAAAACUAAGUGCUGCUGCAGAAGAAGACUGUCCUUCUACCUCUAAUGGCUGCGAGGAAGGGGAGCAAGGAGGUAAGAAAGGGAGUCGAUCGAGUAGAAGGCACCUUGUAGAAUCUGCUGAUCUCAAGUGUAAGCUAGUUGACUUUGGUAACGCUUGUUGGACUUAUAAACAGUUCACAAGUGAUAUUCAGACGAGGCAGUAUAGGUGUCCUGAAGUAAUCCUUGG